UCGCCUGUUUUAUCAAAAACAUCGCCUCUUGCCUCACCCAUAUAAGAGGUCGUACCUGCCCAAUGAUGUACAUUUAAUGGCCGCGGUAUUCUGACCGUGCAAAGGUAGCGUAAUCACUUGUCCUUUAAAUGAGGACCUGUAUGAAUGGUUUGACGAGGGCUUAACUGUCUCCUCUUCUAAAUCAAUGAAAUUGAUCUCUUCGUGCAAAAGCGAAGAUAACUAUAUAAGACGAGAAGACCCUGUGGAGCUUAAGAUAAACAUAUAAACUUUGACCAAAGGACUUUAAAAAUAAACAAAGCCAAAACCUUUAUAUUAUAUCUUCAGUUGGGGCGACUACGGAGAAUACAAAACCUCCGCGAAGACAAGAACACAAAUUCCCAAAACCUAGAAUAACCUCUCAAAGCAAUAGAACUUCUAACUUUUAUUGAUCCAACUCGUUGAUCAACGAAAAAAGUUACCCCAGGGAUAACAGCGCAAUCCCCUUUCAGAGUUCCUAUCGACAAGGGGGUUUACGACCUCGAUGUUGGACCAGGACAUCCUAAUGGUGCAGCCGCUAUUAAGGGU
This 564-nucleotide ribosomal RNA is filed under the name Cynoglossus semilaevis (tongue sole). RNAcentral's name for it is "partial 16S ribosomal RNA". It matches the Rfam family "Bacterial large subunit ribosomal RNA", at positions 1796 to 2572 of the family's 2925-position model. Lineage: Eukaryota; Metazoa; Chordata; Actinopteri; Pleuronectiformes; Cynoglossidae. The record is from RNAcentral.